Long non-coding RNA from Spinacia oleracea (spinach), 407 nucleotides. RefSeq lists it as uncharacterized. The record is from RefSeq and is a predicted model, not a curated record. The transcript has 3 exons. NCBI's taxonomy places the organism in Eukaryota, Viridiplantae, Streptophyta, Magnoliopsida, Caryophyllales, Amaranthaceae.
UCCCAAGCCCGCUCUUAAACUUCUUCUCCCUCUUUGGCUCUAAACCUUCUUACCUAAAACCCUUAUACAACCACCACGACACCCCCGUCGUGCACUCCUUGCCGCCGACGUCUACCUCUUGGUGUCGUGACUUCCACACCCCAAUUGUUUUCAAAGCCUUCUCUUUUACGGAACUCGUGAAUGAUCCGUAGCAGGAUCAAACUAAUCUUUGUGUGAGGUGUUAUUUAAUCAAGUUUUCAGGAACUUGAUGUGAUGCUGUGACAUGCUUGCAUACGGGAUUAAUGGAGAGUUCACUAGUUAGGAUUUAUUUUUCUAAGUUGGUUUCAUUUGUGAGUUCAGAUUUUAGUAUUUUAAUUUCAAGGGUUUAUUCAAUAUACACUAUUAUUUAUUUCGAUUAUUAUUAUUCA